GGCAGAGGAUGCAAGCGUUAUCCGGAAUGAUUGGGCGUAAAGCGUCUGUAGGUGGCUUUUUAAGUCUGCUGUCAAAUCCCAGGGCUUAACCCUGGACAGGCGGUGGAAACUACCAAGCUGGAGUACGGUAGGGGCAGGGGGAAUUUCCGGUGGAGCGGUGAAAUGCGUAGAUAUCGAGAGGAACACCGGUGGCGAAGGCGAGUCCCUGGUCCGCAACUGACGCUGAGGCGCGAAAGCGUGGGUAGCAAACAGG
Molecule: ribosomal RNA, 253 nt
Filed under: uncultured bacterium
Lineage: Bacteria
Description: partial 16S ribosomal RNA
Rfam family: Bacterial small subunit ribosomal RNA
Source: RNAcentral